Molecule: long non-coding RNA, 283 nt
Filed under: Carica papaya (papaya)
Lineage: Eukaryota; Viridiplantae; Streptophyta; Magnoliopsida; Brassicales; Caricaceae
Description: long non-coding RNA (CPAP_LNC014624)
Source: RNAcentral
UGCACGCGAUCGAACGAAUGAGAUCCGUUCCCGCGCACACGGACGACCCAGAUCAAAAGCGCGUACGGAUGGCCCAGAUUGCACGCGUACAAACGGCCCAGAUUGAAUCGUGCACGGACGGCCCAGAUUUCAUCGCGAUGAACAGCCCAGAUUCAUUUCCUAUUUGAUCGCGAUCGGACGACCCAGAAUAAAUCGCGAUGGAUGGCUCAUAUUAAAAGCGAAAGGUUAUAAAUAAUCUCAUCCACACCCAAACCCUAACCCUAGCCUCCAGAGCCCUCGUCGG